UGCUUGCAUCAUGAUUUACAUUUGAGUGAGUGGCGAACUGGUGAGUAACACGUGGGAAACCUGCCCAGAAGCGGGGGAUAACACCUGGAAACAGAUGCUAAUACCGCAUAACAACUUGGACCGCAUGGUCCGAGUUUGAAAGAUGGCUUCGGCUAUCACUUUUGGAUGGUCCCGCGGCGUAUUAGCUAGAUGGUGGGGUAACGGCUCACCAUGGCAAUGAUACGUAGCCGACCUGAGAGGGUAAUCGGCCACAUUGGGACUGAGACACGGCCCAAACUCCUACGGGAGGCAGCAGUAGGGAAUCUUCCACAAUGGACGAAAGUCUGAUGGAGCAACGCCGCGUGAGUGAAGAAGGGUUUCGGCUCGUAAAACUCUGUUGUUAAAGAAGAACAUAUCUGAGAGUAACUGUUCAGGUAUUGACGGUAUUUAACCAGAAAGCCACGGCUAACUACGUGCCAGCAGCCGCGGUAAUACGUAGGUGGCAAGCGUUGUCCGGAUUUAUUGGGCGUAAAGCGAGCGCAGGCGGUUUUUUAAGUCUGAUGUGAAAGCCUUCGGCUCAACCGAAGAAGUGCAUCGGAAACUGGGAAACUUGAGUGCAGAAGAGGACAGUGGAACUCCAUGUGUAGCGGUGAAAUGCGUAGAUAUAUGGAAGAACACCAGUGGCGAAGGCGGCUGUCUGGUCUGUAACUGACGCUAAGGCUCGAAAGUAUGGGUAGCAAACAGGAUUAGAUACCCUGGUAGUCCAUACCGUAAACGAUGAAUGCUAAGUGUUGGAGGGUUUCCGCCCUUCAGUGCUGCAGCUAACGCAUUAAGCAUUCCGCCUGGGGAGUACGGCCGCAAGGCUGAAACU
RNAcentral lists this ribosomal RNA (850 nucleotides) under Lactiplantibacillus plantarum. RNAcentral describes it as "bacterial SSU rRNA". It matches the Rfam family "Bacterial small subunit ribosomal RNA", at positions 65 to 901 of the family's 1533-position model. Lineage: Bacteria; Bacillati; Bacillota; Bacilli; Lactobacillales; Lactobacillaceae. The record is from RNAcentral.